Molecule: long non-coding RNA, 391 nt
Organism: Sitophilus oryzae (rice weevil)
Lineage: Eukaryota; Metazoa; Arthropoda; Insecta; Coleoptera; Curculionidae
Exons: 2
Source: RefSeq, a predicted model, not a curated record
UUUUAGAAACGUGGUUUUUCUAAUUGAGCAAUGUGCGUGGCUAAAAUUGUGAAUACAAAACCUUAAAUUUGAGUUUGAAAAUGCAUACACGACCGAAGAAACAUAUAAGCUGCUAAAAUAAAUCUUCCCUAGAACUGUUGUACAAAAAGAUAGAAGUUCCAGCAACAAAUUUAUCACCAGUUCAACCUUUGAUUUGAUGUAAACAGUAAUUGUUUCUUGAUGAGAAAUGCGAAUGAAAUAGUUUAUGGUGUGAUUGUGUUAGUGUUUUAUUAAUAGUUUUGUUGAUGCAGUUUAAAGGUUCAUAGUUUUUCAUUAAAACAUUUGAAAUUGACAUGUUUACAUGCAGUUUAGUGUGAUACCAUUUUAAUAAACAUUAAAAUCUUUCGAACUA